This 336-nucleotide unclassified non-coding RNA is filed under the name soil metagenome. Its description in RNAcentral is "partial contains 5.8S ribosomal RNA, internal transcribed spacer 2, and large subunit ribosomal RNA". The stretch from base 1 to 120 matches the Rfam family "5.8S ribosomal RNA", at positions 35 to 154 of the family's 154-position model. The record is from RNAcentral.
GAUGAAGAACGUAGCGAAAUGCGAUAAGUAGUGUGAAUUGCAGAAUUCAGUGAAUCAUCGAAUCUUUGAACGCACAUUGCGCCCCUUGGUAUUCCAUGGGGCAUGCCUGUUCGAGCGUCAUUUGUACCUUCAAGCUUUGCUUGGUGUUGGGUGUUUGUCUCGCCUUUGCGUGUAGACUCGCCUUAAAAUAAUUGGCAGCCGGCGUAUUGAUUUCGGAGCGCAGUACAUCUCGCGCUUUGCACUCAUAACGACAGUGUCCAAAAGUACAUUUUACACUCUUGACCUCGGAUCAGGUAGGGAUACCCGCUGAACUUAAGCAUAUCAAUAAGCGGAGGA